RNAcentral lists this ribosomal RNA (587 nucleotides) under uncultured bacterium. RNAcentral describes it as "bacterial SSU rRNA". It matches the Rfam family "Bacterial small subunit ribosomal RNA", at positions 338 to 916 of the family's 1533-position model. The record is from RNAcentral.
CCUACGGGAGGCAGCAGUGGGGAAUUUUGGACAAUGGGCGCAAGCCUGAUCCAGCCAUGCCGCGUGAGUGAAGAAGGCCUUCGGGUUGUAAAGCUCUUUCGGCCGGGAAGAAAUCGUGGUCUCUAACAUAGGCCAUGGAUGACGGUACCGGACUAAGAAGCACCGGCUAACUACGUGCCAGCAGCCGCGGUAAUACGUAGGGUGCGAGCGUUAAUCGGAAUUACUGGGCGUAAAGCGUGCGCAGGCGGUUUUGUAAGACAGAUGUGAAAUCCCCGGGCUUAACCUGGGAACUGCGUUUGUGACUGCAAGGCUAGAGUACGGCAGAGGGGGGUGGAAUUCCUGGUGUAGCAGUGAAAUGCGUAGAGAUCAGGAGGAACACCGAUGGCGAAGGCAGCCCCCUGGGCCUGUACUGACGCUCAUGCACGAAAGCGUGGGGAGCAAACAGGAUUAGAUACCCUGGUAGUCCACGCCCUAAACGAUGUCGACUAGUCGUUCGGAGCAGCAAUGCACUGAGUGACGCAGCUAACGCGUGAAGUCGACCGCCUGGGGAGUACUGCCGCAAGGUUAAAACUCAAAUGAAUUGACGG